GGUCAAGACGGAAAGGGCAUACGGCGGAUGACUUGGCAUCAGCGAGCGAAGAAGGACGCGGCAGGCUGCGAAAAGCCACGGGAAGCUGCGAGCAAGCUUUGAACCGUGGGUAUCCGAAUGGGGAAACCCCUCCAGGGUCAAGCCUGGAGACCGCAUGCUGAAUAAAUAGGCAUGCGGGGCCAACCCGGGGAAGUGAAACAUCUCAGUACCCGGAGGAAGAGAAAUCAAAAGAGAUUCUCCUAGUAGCGGCGAGCGAACGGGGAAGAGCCCAAACCGAGCACUCAACCCAGGCUAUGUUAUCUGGAGGCCGCAAGAAGCGGGGCUUAACCGGCAAGAUUCCAGGUGGCGUGGUUUUGGUUGAGUGCUCGGGGUUGUAGGACCGCAUUUAGCGCAAGUUGCUUUAGCCGAAGCGUCUGGAAAGGCGCACCAUAGAGGGUGACAGUCCUUUAGGCGAAAAGGUGGCAAGCGCGAGCGGUAUCCUGAGUACCACGGGGCACGUGAAACCCCGUGGGAAGCUGGGGAGACCACUCUCCAAGGCUAAAUAUUGCUGAUGACCGAUAGUGCACCAGUACCGUGAGGGAAGGUUGAAAAGAACCCCGGUGAGGGGAGUGAAAUAGAACCUGAAACCGUAUGCCUACAAGCUGUCAGAGCGGAGCAAUCCGUGAUGGCGUGCCUUUUGAUUAAUGAGCCGGCGAGUUACCAGCACUGGCAAGGUUAAGGCCUUAAGGGCCGGAGCCGUAGGGAAACCGAGUCUUAAUAGGGCGAAUAAGUCGGUGUUGGUAGACCCGAAGCCAGGUGAUCUACGCAUGGUCAGGGUGAAGUGGGAGUAAAAUCUCAUGGAGGCCCGAACCGGUGUUUGUUGCAAAAAGCUCGGAUGAACUGUGUGUAGGAGUGAAAGGCCAAUCAAACCUGGUGAUAGCUGGUUCUCCCCGAAAUGUAUUUAGGUACAGCCUCGGUUAUGAGCGAUGCGGGGGUAGGGCGCUGACUGGGCUAGGGCGGCAGAAGCCGUACCAAACCCAAUCAAACCGCGAAUACCGCAAAGUGCUUACCGGGAGUGAGAGUGCGGGUGCUAAGAUCCGUGCUCGAGAGGGAAACAGCCCAGACCGUCAGCUAAGGUCCCCAAGUCGAUGCUAAGUGGUAAAGGAUGUGGUGUUGCUUGGACAGCAAGGAUGUUGGCUUAGAAGCAGCCAUCAUUUAAAGAAAGCGUAAUAGCUCACUUGUCAAGCGGCGUUGCGCCGAAAAUCCAACGGGGCUCAAGCAUCGCACCGAAGCUGCGGACUUGCAAGAGUGGUAGGGGAGCAUUGAGCGUGCAGUGAAGGCGUGCCGCGAGGCAUACUGGAGCGCUCUCAAGAGAUUAUGCCGGCAUAAGUAUACGUAAAUCCUGAUGAGAAGUCAGGACGCCGUAAACCUAAGGUUUCCUGGGGAAGGGAAAUCCGCCCAGGGUUAGUCGGUCCUAAGGCGAGGCCGGAAGGCGUAGCUGAUGGACAGCAGGUUAAUAUUCCUGCACCGUUUGCAUGGCGUUUGACCGAAGGGGAGACGCAGGAGGAUAGUUCGAGCCAGGAGUUGGGGCCUGGUCCAAGCGUUUAGGCUGGAAGGGGAGGCAAAUCCCCCCUUUCAUUAAGGCUGAGGCGUGACGGGGAAAGCAGUAAUGCCGAACUCGGGUGAUUCCACGCUGACCAGAAAAACCUCUAAGGGAGUCAUGCAGAUGACCGUACCGCAAUCCGACACUGGUAGGUGGGUAGAAGAUACCAAGGCGAUCGAGAGAACCCUCGCUAAGGAACUCGGCAAAAUAACCCCGUAACUUCGGGAGAAGGGGUCCCCCAGCAAUGGGGGCGCAGUGAAGAGGCCCAGGCGACUGUUUACCAAAAACACAGGUGCCUGCUAACCCGUAAGGGGAUGUAUAGGCACUGACGCCUGCCCGGUGCCGGAAGGUUAAGGGGAGGGGUCAGCCGCAAGGCGAAGCCCUGAACUGAAGCCCCGGUAAACGGCGGCCGUAACUAUAACGGUCCUAAGGUAGCGAAAUUCCUUGUCGGGUAAGUUCCGACCUGCACGAAUGGCGUAACGAUCUGGGCGCUGUCUCGGCGAGGGACUCGGUGAACUUGAGCAACCGGUGAAGACGCCGGUUACCUGCAACUAGACGGAAAGACCCCGUGCACCUUUACUACAGCUUGGCACUGAGCUUUGGUGGCGUAUGUGUAGGAUAGGUGGGAGGCUGUGAAACAGGGACGCUAGUUUCUGCGGAGCCAACCUUGAAAUACCACCCUUAUGCUUCCGGGGCUCUAACCUGCUCCCGUUAUCCGGGAGAGGAACACUGUCUGGCGGGUAGUUUGACUGGGGCGGUCGCCUCCCAAAGAGUAACGGAGGCGCCCAAAGGUCUCCUCAGGCUGGACGGAAACCAGCCGUUGAGUGCAAAGGCAUAAGGAGGCUUGACUGCGAGACCGACAGGUCGAGCAGAUGGGAAACCAGGGCUUAGUGAUCCGGUGGUUCCUUGUGGAAGGGCCAUCGCUCAACGGAUAAAAGGUACGCCGGGGAUAACAGGCUUAUCGCGUCCAAGAGUUCAUAUCGACGACGCGGUUUGGCACCUCGAUGUCGACUCAUCGCAUCCUGGGGCUGAAGUAGGUCCCAAGGGUUCGGCUGUUCGCCGAUUAAAGCGGUACGAGAGUUGGGUUCAGAACGUCGUGAGACAGUUCGGUCCCUAUCUGUUGCAGGCGCAGGAGAAUUGAGGGGUCCCGUCCCUAGUACGAGAGGACCGGGAUGGACGGACCUCCGGUGUUCCGGUUGUCGCACCAGCGGCAAUGCCGGGUAGCCGUGUCCGGAUGGGAUAAACGCUGAAAGCAUCUAAGCGUGAAACCCGCCCCAAGAUUAGUUCUCCCGGGGUGUAUGCCCCCUAAAGGUCCCUGGUAGACUACCAGGUCGAUAGGCUGGAGGUAUAAGCACAGUAAUGUGUUCAGCCGACCAGUACUAAUAGACCGUGUGGCUUGACCCA
This 2986-nucleotide ribosomal RNA is filed under the name Actinomycetota bacterium. RNAcentral describes it as "23S ribosomal RNA". It matches the Rfam family "Bacterial large subunit ribosomal RNA". Lineage: Bacteria; Bacillati; Actinomycetota. The record is from RNAcentral.